Felis catus (domestic cat) is the source of this 780-nucleotide long non-coding RNA. RefSeq lists it as uncharacterized. The transcript has 3 exons. The record is from RefSeq and is a predicted model, not a curated record. NCBI's taxonomy places the organism in Eukaryota, Metazoa, Chordata, Mammalia, Carnivora, Felidae.
GUCUUGUCUGGUGUUGCAUUCAUAGCCUCCGGUAACAGGUCUGGAUGCGUGGGAACGUGGGAACUCGAGAAAACAACCCCCAGCCGCUCUGAGGACUCCCUGCCUCCGUGCUCCCUCCCCACCCUUGAAGCCAGGGUUGGUCUUGUGGUUUCCGCCUGCUGUUGUCCCUUCCUAUUUCUCAUGGGUUGAAUGUGUCCCCAGAAAGAUAUGUCAAAGUCCUAACCGCCAGUACCUGUGAAUGUGACCUUCUCAGGAAAUAGCAUCUUUGCAAGAUAGAAUCAAGAUGGGAGUUGACUCCGAAGGAGGCUGAGCCCCUAAUCCAAUUGACUGGUGUCUUUAUAAGAAGAGAGAAGAAACACACACAGAGUAGCAGGACAGAAACUCCCAGAAUGCUAUGCCUGCUCCGGCACUGGGCCUCCCGUAUUUCAAACCUAGAGUGGAUUCUUUUUAACAACUCCUGUACCAUUCACACAGACCAGUUCUAGCAGCUCUCAAGUGUCUUCACCGUGGACAAACUUUCACCAAACGCCGGCAAAUGUAUCACAAAUUUCUAUUGUAUUUGGGUCUCAAGUUUUACACGUGCAAAACCCAGAGAAAGCAUCCAAAAGACGGCAAAUAGGGACUUGCCUGAGCCGUUGUGUUCUUGUCCAGUUCCUAGAGAAAGUGAUUCGGGCUUCAAACACUGCCCUUUGAAUUUCAUCAGGCAAUCUAAGACUGGCACCUUUGGUCAUUUCUCCUAACGUUUCUUCCCUAAAUUUGAUUCUUUUAUCUAUUUCCUCA